GAUUGAAGCGCUGAGCGGCAUGCCUAACACAUGCAAGUCGGGCGGCAGCGGGUAUUGUAGCGAUAUGAUAUGCCGGCGAGCGGCGGACGGGUGAGUAAAGCAUAGGAAUCUGCCUUAUAGAGGAGGAUAACUUGGGGAAACCCGAGCUAAUACUGCGUAAGUUCUACGGAAGAAAGGCUGGGACCGAAAGGCCAGUCGCUAUAAGAUGAGUCUAUGUCGGAUUAGUUAGUUGGUGAGGUAAAGGCUUACCAAGGCGAGGAUCCGUAGCUGGUCUGAGAGGAUGAUCAGCCACACUGGGACUGAGACACGGCCCAGACUCCUACGGGAGGCAGCAGUGGGGAAUAUUGGACAAUGGGGGAAACCCUGAUCCAGCGAUGCCGCGUGUGAGAAGAAGGCCUGCGGGUUGUAAAUCACUUUAGUUGGGGAAGAAGGUUGGGAGGUUAAGAGCUUUGCAACCAGACGUUACCCAAAGAAUAAGCACCGGCUAACUCUGUGCCAGCAGCCGCGGUAAUACAGAGGGUGCAAGCGUUAAUCGGAAUUACUGGGCGUAAAGGGCGCGUAGGCGGAUGUACAAGUUAGAUGUGAAAUCCCCGAGCUUAACUUGGGAACUGCAUUUAAGACUGUGGAUCUAGAGUAGAAGAGAGGUAAGUGGAAUUUCCGGUGUAGCGGUGGAAUGCGUAGAUAUCGGAAAGAACACCAGUGGCGAAGGCGACUUACUGGAUUCAUACUGACGCUGAGGCGCGAAAGCAUGGGGAGCAAACAGGAUUAGAUACCCUGGUAGUCCAUGCUGUAAACGAUGAUAACUAGAUGUUGGGAGGUUAAACCUGUCAGUAUCGAAGCAAACGCGAUAAGUUAUCCGCCUGGGGAGUACGACCGCAAGGUUAAAACUCAAAGGAAUUGACGGGGACCCGCACAAGCGGUGGAGCAUGUGGUUUAAUUCGAUGCAACGCGAAGAACCUUACCUACCCUUGACAUCCUUCGAAUCUUGCUGAGAGGCGAGAGUGCCGAAAGGAGCGAAGAGACAGGUGCUGCAUGGCUGUCGUCAGCUCGUGUCGUGAGAUGUUGGGUUAAGUCCCGUAACGAGCGCAACCCUUGUCCUUAGUUGCCAUCAUUAAGUUGGGAACUCUAAGGAGACUGCCGGUGAUAAACCGGAGGAAGGUGGGGAUGAGGUCAAGUCAUCAUGGCCUUUAUGGGUAGGGCUACACACGUGCUACAAUGGUCGGUACAAAGGGAAGCGAAGCUGUGAGGCGGAGCGAAACUCAAAAAGCCGAUCUUAGUCCGGAUUGGAGUCUGCAACUCGACUCCAUGAAGCUGGAAUCGCUAGUAAUCGCGGAUCAGAACGCCGCGGUAAUACGUUCUCGGGU
Molecule: ribosomal RNA, 1364 nt
Filed under: uncultured bacterium
Lineage: Bacteria
Description: bacterial SSU rRNA
Rfam family: Bacterial small subunit ribosomal RNA
Source: RNAcentral